Molecule: transfer RNA, 63 nt
Filed under: Trachypeplus jacobsoni
Lineage: Eukaryota; Metazoa; Arthropoda; Insecta; Hemiptera; Tingidae
Description: tRNA-Arg
Source: RNAcentral
AAGUAAUGAAGUAAAAUUACACUUAGUUUCGACCUAAAAAUAGAGAAUUAUUCUCCUUACUUU